GAUGAACGCUGGCGGCGUGCUUAACACAUGCAAGUCGAACGAAGCAACUUAUUACGAUCCCUUCGGGGUGACGAUUUGUUGACUGAGUGGCGGACGGGUGAGUAACGCGUGGGUAACCUACCUUGUACAGGGGGACAACAGUUGGAAACGACUGCUAAUACCGCAUAAGCGCACAGCUUCGCAUGAAGCAGUGUGAAAAGUUUUUUCGGUACAAGAUGGACCCGCGUCUGAUUAGCUAGUUGGUGAGGUAACGGCCCACCAAGGCGACGAUCAGUAGCCGACCUGAGAGGGUGACCGGCCACAUUGGGACUGAGACACGGCCCAAACUCCUACGGGAGGCAGCAGUGGGGAAUAUUGCACAAUGGGCGAAAGCCUGAUGCAGCGACGCCGCGUGAGCGAAGAAGUAUUUCGGUAUGUAAAGCUCUAUCAGCAGGGAAGAUAAUGA
RNAcentral lists this ribosomal RNA (445 nucleotides) under bacterium FB3014. RNAcentral describes it as "bacterial SSU rRNA". It matches the Rfam family "Bacterial small subunit ribosomal RNA", at positions 28 to 454 of the family's 1533-position model. The record is from RNAcentral.